GCGGAAGUGCUGGAAUUGGCAGACAGGCUAGACUAAGGAUCUAGUGUUGGAAACGACGUGUGGGUUCAAGUCCCAUCUUCCGCA
RNAcentral lists this transfer RNA (84 nucleotides) under Acetatifactor sp. RNAcentral's name for it is "tRNA-Leu". It matches the Rfam family "tRNA". From Rfam's summary of the family: Transfer RNA (tRNA) molecules are approximately 80 nucleotides in length. Their secondary structure includes four short double-helical elements and three loops (D, anti-codon, and T loops). Lineage: Bacteria; Bacillati; Bacillota; Clostridia; Lachnospirales; Lachnospiraceae. The record is from RNAcentral. RNAcentral also lists the same sequence under 1 other name.